This 301-nucleotide ribosomal RNA is filed under the name uncultured bacterium. RNAcentral describes it as "partial 16S ribosomal RNA". It matches the Rfam family "Bacterial small subunit ribosomal RNA", at positions 509 to 807 of the family's 1533-position model. The record is from RNAcentral.
CAGUCGCCGCGGUAAUACGAAGGGUGCAAGCGUUAAUCGGAAUUACUGGGCGUAAAGCGUGCGUAGGCGGUUUGUUAAGUCUGCUGUGAAAUCCCCGGGCUCAACCUGGGAAUGGCAGUGGAUACUGGCAAGCUAGAGUGUGUCAGAGGAUGGUGGAAUUCCCGGUGUAGCGGUGAAAUGCGUAGAGAUCGGAAGGAACAUCUGUGGCGAAGGCGACUAUCUGGGCCAACACUGACACUGAGGCACGAAAGCGUGGGGAGCAAACAGGAUUAGAUACCCGAGUAGUCCCUGUCUCUUAUAC